Molecule: ribosomal RNA, 612 nt
Filed under: Graptodytes granularis
Lineage: Eukaryota; Metazoa; Arthropoda; Insecta; Coleoptera; Dytiscidae
Description: SSU rRNA
Rfam family: Eukaryotic small subunit ribosomal RNA
Source: RNAcentral
AGUCAUAUGCUUGUCUCAAAGAUUAAGCCAUGCAUGUCUCAGUACAAGCCGCACUAAGGUGAAACCGCGAAAGGCUCAUUAAAUCAGUUAUGGUUCCUUAGAUCGUACCCACACUUACUUGGAUAACUGUGGUAAUUCUAGAGCUAAUACAUGCAAACAGAGCUCCGACCGGAGACGGGAGGAGUGCUUUUAUUAGAUCAAAACCAAUCGGAGGCGGCGGCGUUCGCGCGUCGCCGUCAACCGCUCAACCUGGUGACUCUGAAUAACUUUCCGCUGAUCGCACGGUCUCGCACCGGCGACGCAUCUUUCAAAUGUCUGCCUUAUCAACUGUCGAUGGUAGGUUCUGCGCCUACCAUGGUCGUAACGGGUAACGGGGAAUCAGGGUUCGAUUCCGGAGAGGGAGCCUGAGAAACGGCUACCACAUCCAAGGAAGGCAGCAGGCGCGCAAAUUACCCACUCCCGGCACGGGGAGGUAGUGACGAAAAAUAACGAUACGGGACUCAUCCGAGGCCCCGUAAUCGGAAUGAGUACACUUUAAAUCCUUUAACGAGGACCAAUUGGAGGGCAAGUCUGGUGCCAGCAGCCGCGGUAACUCCAGCUCCAAUAGCGUAU